RNAcentral lists this small RNA (281 nucleotides) under Marmota monax (woodchuck). RNAcentral's name for it is "7SK RNA". It matches the Rfam family "7SK RNA", at positions 1 to 255 of the family's 331-position model. Rfam says of the family: 7SK was discovered as an abundant small nuclear RNA in the mid-70s but a possible function has only recently been suggested. Two independent studies have found that 7SK RNA binds the CDK9/cyclin T complex (known as elongation factor P-TEFb). Lineage: Eukaryota; Metazoa; Chordata; Mammalia; Rodentia; Sciuridae. The record is from Rfam by way of RNAcentral.
GCAUGUGAGAGUGAUCUGGCUAUGCCAUCUGCAACCUCAUUGAUUACAAGGGUUGAUCUGGCUGAUGAAGCAGGUGUCCCCGUCCUCCCUCAACACUCCAUAUGCGUCCCUCCCAAAACUGAGCUCUGUGGAAGAGGAACACCUUCCCCAAUAGAGGCUAGUUCUUUGUUCAUAGAUAUGCUAGUUGCUGUACUCCCCUUCUAGAAUCUUCAGACAAGCUCUCAAAAGACAGAGCCUCCCUCCUUUUCACACUGCCCUACACUUUUUUCCUACAUUUAAAG